Molecule: ribosomal RNA, 215 nt
Filed under: Glomeromycotina sp.
Lineage: Eukaryota; Fungi; Glomeromycota
Description: partial small subunit ribosomal RNA
Rfam family: Eukaryotic small subunit ribosomal RNA (bases 39-215)
Source: RNAcentral
GGACAGUAGGUUGGUCGUGCCACCGGUACGUACUGGUCUCACUGAUUCCUCCUUCCUGAAGAACCGUAAUGCCAUUAAUUUGGUGUUGCGGGGAAACAGGACUGUUACUUUGAAAAAAUUAGAGUGUUUAAAGCAAGCUAACGCUUGAAUACAUUAGCAUGGAAUAAUGAAAUAGGACGAUCGAUCCUAUUUUGUUGGUUUCUAGGAUUGACGUA